RNAcentral lists this ribosomal RNA (410 nucleotides) under uncultured microorganism. RNAcentral describes it as "bacterial SSU rRNA". It matches the Rfam family "Bacterial small subunit ribosomal RNA", at positions 9 to 414 of the family's 1533-position model. The record is from RNAcentral.
GAGUUUGAUCCUGGCUCAGAUUGAACGUUGGCGGCAGGCCUAACACAUGCAAGUCGAACGGUAACAGGAAACAGCUUGCUGUUUCGCUGACGAGUGGCGGACGGGUGAGUAAUGUCUGGGAAACUGCCUGAUGGGAGGGGGAUAACUACUGGAAACGGUAGCUAAUACCGCAUAACGUCGCAAGACCAAAGAGGGGGACCUUCGGGCCUCUUGCCAUCGGAUGUGCCCAGAUGGGAUUAGCUAGUAGGUGGGGUAACGGCUCACCUAGGCGACGAUCCCUAGCUGGUCUGAGAGGAUGACCAGCCACACUGGAACUGAGACACGGUCCAGACUCCUACGGGAGGCAGCAGUGGGGAAUAUUGCACAAUGGGCGCAAGCCUGAUGCAGCCAUGCCGCGUGUAUGAAGAAGG